UACGUAGGUGGCAAGCGUUGUCCGGAAUUACUGGGUGUAAAGGGCGUGUAGGCGGGUUAUUAAGUCAGAUGUGAAAUUCCAGGGCUCAACCCUGGAGCUGCAUCUGAAACUGAUGAUCUUGAGUACUGGAGAGGGAAGCGGAAUUCCUAGUGUAGCGGUGAAAUGCGUAGAUAUUAGGAGGAACACCAGUGGCGAAAGCGACUUUCUGGCGCGUUACUGACGCUGAGGCUCGAAAGCGUGGGGAGCGAACGGG
This 253-nucleotide ribosomal RNA is filed under the name uncultured bacterium. RNAcentral's name for it is "partial 16S ribosomal RNA". It matches the Rfam family "Bacterial small subunit ribosomal RNA", at positions 524 to 776 of the family's 1533-position model. The record is from RNAcentral.